This is an RNA transcript of Carassius auratus (goldfish), 1339 nucleotides long. RefSeq lists it as uncharacterized. The record is from RefSeq and is a predicted model, not a curated record. The transcript is spliced from 5 exons. NCBI's taxonomy places the organism in Eukaryota, Metazoa, Chordata, Actinopteri, Cypriniformes, Cyprinidae.
ACUUCCGGAAGGAACGCUACUUCCUGAUGAAAAGCCGAAAAGCCCGCUCAACUCCCUCGCAAAUUAACAGAUGCAACGGCGAACAUCACGUACAAUCCAGUGACACAUCAUGUGACAUGGCUCCAUCAUUAAAUCGAAAAUUGCUGUCAAUGAUUGAAGGACGUCAAACAAAGAGGAAGAAAUUGAAGUUGAUUAAAUGGCUCCAGAAAAAAAAAAUUGCUUAAAGCUAAAAUGAAGUGCAAUUUAUGCCAACAUAAAAUGAAGCUGACUCAUAAACCCAACAAAGCAGACAACUAUGUUUGGUCCUGUACACGAAACAGACAUAAGGGAAGGUUCAAGUCAGUGAGGUAUGGAUCACUUUUUGCCAAGUCAAAGUGUAAUUUAUUCUCAUGGAUGAAGUUCAUAUAUCGGCCUUCAGUUGAGACAAAUCGACAUGAUUGAAGAUGGCAUUGCUGGAAGCUCACGUACACUCAGCAGCAUGGCCAAAAAAGUUCGAGCUAUUUGUAAAGAAUCCAUGAAGUUGUAUGCCAGAAGGAAGGGCCAAAUGAUAGGACAACCCAGGGAGUUUGUUAUGAUUGAUGAGAGCAACUUCCGUCACAAGCGAAAGUAUGGACGUGGAAGGUUCGCAAAGACUUGGCGUAGAAGAAAGUGGGUCUUUGGGAUGCUGGGGGUUGCACCAAGAAAUAGCAAGCCUAUUCUGAAACUCGUUCAUCGAAGGUCCCGGAACCAUCUUAUCCCACAUAUUGUACGACAUGUGCAUCCUGGAAGUUCCAUACUUAGUGAUGAAUGGCGUGCUUACAGAGGGGUACUAACCGAUCUUGGCUAUAACCAUUUUCCUGUGAAGCAUAAUCAGUGUUUUGUAGAUCCAAUAACAGGCAGCCAUACACAAAAUCUGGAAAGAGCAUGGUUAACUUACAAAGGAAAAAUAUGGCGUCUUAGAGGAAAUAGGACAGAGGACCUACUAAAACAACAUCUAAAACUGAUAGAGUGGACUUACUGGCUUGGAAAUCGGUACAAAAAUGGUCCUCUUGGAAGACUGUUGAAGGAUAUUCAUCGAAAAUAUCACCUUUAAAACACAAAACUGAUAACUCCCGAAGCCCAUUAUUUCUCCAGCCUAACUUGACCAUGCUGGCUCACUCCCAGAUCAUCCAUAUUUUUACUCUUUUGAAACACCUCUUCCAUAGUCCCAUUCAUUGAUACAAACAGUAUAUAUAUUUCUAUAUUUCUUAUUUUGUACAUUUUGUAAUUCUGCUGCAGAUGAUUUUUCUUGCUUCACACACUACAGUUGUACAAAUGAAUUUCCAAUUGUCUUUUUAUUAAUUUGUAAUAUGUAUACAUU